Non-coding RNA from Schistosoma mansoni, 48 nucleotides. NCBI's taxonomy places the organism in Eukaryota, Metazoa, Platyhelminthes, Trematoda, Strigeidida, Schistosomatidae. The record is from Rfam.
AUCCAGCUGACGAGUCUCAAAUAGGACGAAACGCACCUUGUCCUGGAU